This 253-nucleotide ribosomal RNA is filed under the name uncultured bacterium. RNAcentral describes it as "partial 16S ribosomal RNA". It matches the Rfam family "Bacterial small subunit ribosomal RNA", at positions 524 to 776 of the family's 1533-position model. The record is from RNAcentral.
GACAGAGGAGCCAAGCGUUGUCCGGAUUGACUGGGCGUAAAGCGCACGCAGGUGGUUGCGGGCGUCGGUGCUGAAAGUUCGCCGCUUAACGGCGAAUCGUGUGCCGAUACGCCGCAACUCGAGCCCGUGAGAGGUCGGUGGAAUUGCCGGUGUAGUGGUGAAAUGCGUAGAGAUCGGCAGGAACACCCAAGGGGAAGCCAGCCGACUGGCACGGUGCUGACACUGAGGUGCGACAGCGUGGGGAGCGAACCGG